AUUGAACGCUGGCGGCAGGCCUAACACAUGCAAGUCGAGCGGAUGAAGGGAGCUUGCUCCUGGCUUCAGCGGCGGACGGGUGAGUAAUGCCUAGGAAUCUGCCUGGUAGUGGGGGAUAACGUCCGUAAACGGGCGCUAAUACCGCAUACGUCCUGAUGGUGAAAGUGGGGGAUCUUCGGACCUCACGCUAUCAGAUGAGCCUAGGUCGGAUUAGCUAGUUGGUGGGGUAAAGGCCUACCAAGGCGACGAUCCGUAACUGGUCUGAGAGGAUGAUCAGUCACACUGGAACUGAGACACGGUCCAGACUCCUACGGGAGGCAGCAGUGGGGAAUAUUGGACAAUGGGCGAAAGCCUGAUCCAGCCAUGCCGCGUGUGUGAAGAAGGUCUUCGGAUUGUAAAGCACUUUAAGUUGGGAGGAAGGGAAGUAAGUUAAUACCUUGCUGUUUUGACGUUACCAACAGAAUAAGCACCGGCUAACUUCGUG
RNAcentral lists this ribosomal RNA (484 nucleotides) under uncultured bacterium. RNAcentral's name for it is "partial 16S ribosomal RNA". It matches the Rfam family "Bacterial small subunit ribosomal RNA", at positions 30 to 507 of the family's 1533-position model. The record is from RNAcentral.